RNAcentral lists this transfer RNA (67 nucleotides) under Marmota monax (woodchuck). RNAcentral's name for it is "tRNA.Ala". The record is from RNAcentral. Lineage: Eukaryota; Metazoa; Chordata; Mammalia; Rodentia; Sciuridae.
GGUUGUAGCUGAGAGGUAGAGUGUUUGCCUAGCAUGUAUGAGGCACUGGGUUCGAUCCUCGGCACCA